GAGGGAGAUGCUGGUACAGAGGCU
RNAcentral lists this microRNA (24 nucleotides) under Mus musculus (house mouse). RNAcentral describes it as "Mmu-Mir-1941-v1_5p (mature (guide))". Lineage: Eukaryota; Metazoa; Chordata; Mammalia; Rodentia; Muridae. The record is from RNAcentral.